Molecule: ribosomal RNA, 244 nt
Filed under: uncultured bacterium
Lineage: Bacteria
Description: partial 16S ribosomal RNA
Rfam family: Bacterial small subunit ribosomal RNA
Source: RNAcentral
CGCCCUUCAGAGGGGGACAACAGUUGGAAACGACUGCUAAUACCGCAUACGAUCUAAUCUCGGCAUCGAGGAUAGAUGAAAGGUGGCCUCUACAUGUAAGCUAUCACUGAAGGAGGGGAUUGCGUCUGAUUAGCUAGUUGGAGGGGUAACGGCCCACCAAGGCGAUGAUCAGUAGCCGGUCUGAGAGGAUGAACGGCCACAUUGGGACUGAGACACGGCCCAGACUCCUACGGGAGGCAGCAUG